GUUCGGGAACAAGCUGAAUCAACAAAAGUUCGUAUCGUCUACGACGCCUCCGCAAAGGUUAACGAAGAUAGUCCGUCACUGAAUGACUGUCUAGAGAUUGGCCCUCCACUUCAACGAAAGUUGUUAGAUAUCCUUUUGCGAAACCGAGUUAAACCUGUGCUAUUAGCUGGAGAUAUAAAGCAAGCGUUUCUUCAGAUUGUUAUCAGAGAAACCGAACGUGACGCCUUGAGGUUCCUGUGGAUAAAUAACUUGCACACCAGAGAAGAGAAGAUCUACCGCAUGACAAGACUUAUGUUUGGUCUGGGUCCAAGUCCAUUCAUUCUUGGAGGGACAUUGAACGUUCACCUACUCACAAGUACUCACAAGAUCAUCCGAUUUGUGUUCGAGAACUUAAAGAUGGUACAUACGUGGACGAUAUAAACAUUGCAAGCGACACAGUGGAAGAAACGAGAGAAAUUAAAGAAGAUGCUGUAAAAAUCCUGGGAGAAGGUGGGUUCAUGUUACAUAAAUGGCAUUCGAACGCCGCAGAAUUAGAAAGUGAUGUAAAGGAAGAUGGAGAAACUACCUAUGCGAAGGAAAGUCUAGGGACAACACCAUCGGAGACCAAACUUCUUGGAUUAGGCUGGAACAAAUCAGAAGACACUUUGUCAGUGACAUUUCCACCAAACGAAAAUGAAGUUACGAAAAGAAUCGUCCUGAGAACUAUGGCGAAAAUCUAUGAUCCGCUGGGAUUAGCAGCUCCUAUUCUACUCACGGCCAAAGUGAUCUUUCGAGAUGUCUGUGAUUCUAAGUUGGGAUGGGAUGCAGAUCUACCUGACGAACUAAAGCGGCGAUGGGAGAAAUGGUUGAAGAAUUUACCUGUCCAGUUGAAGAUGCCAAGAGCAAUACCUAGAGAAAUCGGUGUGAUUGUCGAAUUGAUUCUUCAUGGAUUCGCAGAUGCGAGCCUUCUUGGUUGUUGCGCUGUGAUCUACGCUAUUAUCAAGCAAGCUGGAGUGAUUAGUCAAGGGUUCCUGAUUUCGAAAACAAGAUUGGCCAAACGGGACUUGACUAUUCCGCGCCUGGAGUUAGUGAGUUGCCACAUGCUAAGUAACCUCCUACACAACACAUUCAAAGUUCUUAGUCAUAUACAAAUUGCCGGUGUAUUCGCAUGGUCUGAU
Paramuricea clavata is the source of this 1157-nucleotide non-coding RNA. Lineage: Eukaryota; Metazoa; Cnidaria; Anthozoa; Malacalcyonacea; Plexauridae. The record is from the annotation of a GenBank genome assembly.